RNAcentral lists this ribosomal RNA (253 nucleotides) under uncultured bacterium. RNAcentral describes it as "partial 16S ribosomal RNA". It matches the Rfam family "Bacterial small subunit ribosomal RNA", at positions 524 to 776 of the family's 1533-position model. The record is from RNAcentral.
GACGAACCGUACGAACGUUAUUCGGAAUCACUGGGCUUAAAGGGUGCGUAGGCUGCGCAGCAAGUUGGGUGUGAAAUCCCUCGGCUUAACCGAGGAACUGCGCCCAAAACUGCUGUGCUCGAGGGAGAUAGAGGUGAGCGGAACUUAGGGUGGAGCGGUGAAAUGCGUUGAUAUCCUAAGGAACACCGGUGGCGAAAACGGCUCACUGGAUCUCUUCUGACGCUGAGGCACGAAAGCUAGGGUAGCGAACGGG